Molecule: long non-coding RNA, 1438 nt
Filed under: Lactuca sativa (garden lettuce)
Lineage: Eukaryota; Viridiplantae; Streptophyta; Magnoliopsida; Asterales; Asteraceae
Description: long non-coding RNA (LSAT_LNC002334)
Source: RNAcentral
UCAAAAUGAGGAGGCUGUAACCUUUGCUUAAGCCGUUGUUGAUGUCUACCCUUCACCUUCUUUUCCCGCCUGGUACACGUCGCUCAACUCCUCCUGUCCUCUAAUAAGAAUGAAUGUGGACGACAUUUUUAGAAGACUUCAAAGACGGGUUUGCUUCAACCGCCUCAAUUAACUAUCUAAAGGUGAGUCACUCUCUCUUUUCCAACGCCAUUUCAUUUGGUUUUUAUGGUUUUACGGUCGUUUCCUAGUCUUCAUCAAUAACUCAAUUUCAUCUCCUUUUUUUUUUUGCAAUUUUCCCCUUAUAUUGGUUCUCGUAACAGCUUUAAUUUAAAGAAAUUGAAGGAAUUAGAAGUUGUUCAUCUAUCGAUUCUAUAAGAUGUAUGAGAUUUGAGAUUUGAUGUGGCUAGGUAGGAGUUUUUGUUGGUCCACCACAUGUUCGAUGAAAUGCUUAACAAAAAAUAUUGGGUUAAACCUGAUGACAAUGAAGCUAGUUUCAACUAUUAACUUAAGAUCUAUCCACAUGAUGGAAACUUGAAAGGUGAAUGUGGUGUGCAGGGGAAAACCUUUCACAACUCGACAUUUCCUACCUAUUAUCUUUCUUUGUUUAUUUCUUCAUAAUUUAUUUAAUGUAGCUCAAGUUAUAGGUUUUCAUUCAAAUUAGUUCUCAAGCUAUCAUCUGUGACUGAGUUUGAGUUUUUAUUUGAUUGAUUUUGUUGUAGAGUCAAGUCAAGGGUUGUUGGUGACAAUCAAUUAUAUGAGGGCAUUACCGCAUCAUCAUUAUAAUGAAAGAGUGAAGCAGGUCGUACUAGACAGGUAAAGCCACUAAAACACUCAUUAAAAUCAUUUUGUUGACUUGUAAAUUCUUUCAGAAUGUUUAUGCAUAUUAAAGAAAAGACUAAGAUUUAAGUUCGUUAUGUAUUGUAUUCUGUCAGAAUAAAAUUGGUUUCUAUUAUUGUUAUUUGUCUCGAUUCUUAUAGAAUGACAUCCUAAAUAAUGAAACAUUACAUUCUUUCAGAAUAAUAUACAUUGCAAGUUUAAGGAUGAUUGUUGAUGUUGGUUUGUAGAAAUUAUAGUUUUAGUGUAUUUGAAUGUAUAUCACAUUCUAUUAGAAUUUAUUGUUUUAUUCUAUUUAAUGCACUAGAAUUUUUAAUAUUUGAAAUUUGAUUAUGUUUUCCUUGUGAGUUUAGGUUUUGAAGAGGUUGUCAUUAAUGUGGAAUAUGAAGAAAACAUGGAGAAUGAUAUUUGUAUUCUAACAGAAUGUAUUCUGUCAGAAUCUAUUCUGCAAGAAUAGAUUAUUGUUUUUAUUAGAUUUUGAUAUUUUUUUUCUUUUUAACCAUUUUUACUUUUAAUCUUUAAGAAUAAAUGUAAUCCUUAAACCAUUAUUGGUCAUAAUUUUUUGAGAAUGAUUGUAAUAAUUGCUUAGUCUUUUUGUUUACGG